UGCCAUCGUACAUAACGGAGUAGGCUAUAUGUUCAGCUUAAAGAAGCAGUUUGAGCAAAGUGCUCAUACAUAGCGGCUGAAUAUGGCUAAGUUCGCUUUAGGCUCUUUGUUGAUAUUAAUCUCGUGCACUUUCGCUUCCUUCACCGAAGGAGCUCAAAGUGUUUCAAGUGAUUUUCAAGGUAGUAAUGGUCUUGAAAUCCCUGGAAAAGAUUGGUGGCCGCGACCAAAACAGCCCUGCCGACGCAAACAUGAAGUCUACAAGCAGUGCGUCGGCACAGGCUGCGAAGAGGCAACAUGUUGGAAGCCUACGAUCGGUCCGAUUUGCCACUACGACUGCAAACAAGGCUGCUACUGUGAAACAGGUUUCUACAGGGACUAUCGAGGAAAGUGUGUUUCAUGGAAUAAGUGCCUCAAGCAGAUGUACCCUUGGUACACGGGUGGGCGGUACUCAUGGUUACCGUACACGGAGCCUGCCUACACUGGGGUGGUACCUGUGGCGUUCUAGGAUGCAGUCGUAACAGAUGGUAACAUUGGGCAUGGUUAGAAAUGUCUUUUUAAUGUUUGAAAAAAAAAGAAUAAACAUGAUUGUUAUAUUCUGCACUUGCAA
This is a long non-coding RNA of Rhipicephalus microplus (southern cattle tick), 607 nucleotides long. The record is from RefSeq and is a predicted model, not a curated record. Lineage: Eukaryota; Metazoa; Arthropoda; Arachnida; Ixodida; Ixodidae.